GAACACAGUGGGAAUUAUUACUGUGAAGUCCAGAACAUCAGGGGACGUCAAAGCGUGACCAUACAUCUGACUGUGGCAGGAGCAUGGAAAUUAAUAGCUGUUGGAACAAUCGCUGCUAUUUUACUUGUUGUCCUACUCAUCUCAGUUGCACUAUGCAUUAGAGCCUCUAAGCAACCAUCUAAGCCUGUAGAGACACUGGACAACAGUGCAAAGACACAACCAGAAGAGCCAGAGGAUGCCCUUACCUAUACGACUGUUCACUUUUCCAAGAAACAGGCAGAUCCUCUCUACUCCAAUAUCAGUCCAGCUCAGCCCCAAAGACACAAGGAGGAGGAAGAGGUGAAGGAUGUCGUGUAUGCUACUGUCAAACUGAACAGUGGCAAUGCUGCCCCGAGGUGAGUGCCUCUUUACACAGGAACAGUAUCCUCAGUUGGUGUUUGAUUGAGUGUC
This is a long non-coding RNA of Thunnus maccoyii (southern bluefin tuna), 450 nucleotides long. RefSeq lists it as uncharacterized. The record is from RefSeq and is a predicted model, not a curated record. The transcript is spliced from 4 exons. NCBI's taxonomy places the organism in Eukaryota, Metazoa, Chordata, Actinopteri, Scombriformes, Scombridae.